CUCAGCCUCCUGCAAAAUAUGGCGACAAUCCCGAGGCAUUGAAGCCUUUAGUGUGACACUUUUAGCCACAGAACCAGUUUUGGAGUUUACUCAGAGAUGCCUUUAGUCAUCUGCAGCUACGUGAGACUUAGGCAUUAAGAACACCACACUAAUGAUUCCAGUCUGUCUGCAAUUACUUACUUUUUGCCUUCAGCUAUGUAAGCACGAGUAUUUUGUCUCUUCUAAAUAUUCAUAUUUUGUUUGCAUUUUUAACAAUAAAUGAGUUGAAAUGACACUAUAUGUCUAAAAUGCAAGCACAGUUUCUUGAGAUCCAGUCUGAGGAUUACAUUUAGUUCUACUUUUUCUGUGUAAAUGGUUAGCUAUUUUAAAAUAAUAAUAUUUUUUCUAAAGAGGCAUGCUUAGCAAAGUUGGUGUGAAACCAACUCAAGUGCAUGUAAAAUGCUUACACUUUAGACAAUUUUUUUAUCUUUUACUGAGGGGGGAAGCACAUAGCUUUGCUAACAGUUUAAAGAUUGUUAUUUAUUGUUAUUUGAAAUUUAAUGAGUUGAAGUAAUACAGUCGCUGUGGGAAUAUUUGUGUUAUGACCUAAGAUGGAGGCAUGUUAAGAACCAAAAUGAGUAUAUUCUUCAAGCCGAGACUGAACUUUUGUCUCAUGAAAUCAUUGGAGACUUCAGCUGAAUGUUUAUUUCUCUUCUCUUUUUGGUUAUUGGUUUUGCUUGCAUCUGGUUUUGCCUACUUUCAUCUGCUCCUGCUUGGCUUUUUUCCUUCAAAGUCAGUAUGUUUCAGUAUAUGCAGCUUUAGCCACAGUAAUGUGUAUUUGAGAGGUGUGUAUGGUCAAAAAAUAUGAAUAAUCACAUUCUCUUAAAUAGAUUUGAAAAUUAGUGAGUUCAAGCAAUCCAGACAUUGUAGGAAUAUUAGUGUUAUGACUUCAAACAGAGGAGUGUUUGAAACAAAUUGGUUGUAUUCUUUAAGUCUAGACUGAGCUUUUGCUUCAUGAAAUCAGUAGUGAUUUUAGCUAAACGUUUGUGUGCCAGCAUAACUUUGAGUCUGUUUCCUUUUGUGUCAGAAAAAUGACAGGGAGUGAGAAAUUUAGAAUAAACACACUGUUCUUGCUGAUCUCUUACAUAUAUCGCUGACCUCUUUGGAUCUGGGACCUUGUGUUACAGCGAUUUCACAUAUGAAGACUGUGGAGAGAAAAAAUACCAGUUCAAAAAGACCGCAGAAAAAUCAGUCAUUCUGUUGUGCUUGGCUUGCAGUCCAGUUGCCAUCCUCUAUCAUUUGGUGGUGAUAAGGCUAUUUAGGGUAAUUUUCAAGCCAAACUACUGUUGUGACAUGCCUGUGAUGCUUCCAGAUCCUGUAGCCCAGCAAUUCAAGCCACAAAGAAUUUUCUGGUUAGCUUCCUGACUGUUCAGGAGUCAUCUUAGGUCUCUUCCAAAUCAUGAGAGUGGCUCUUUGUUACAUGACCAGAUGUACCCAGCUCAGAAGAGGUCAGAGCCUAUUCAGAUGUUCUUCCAUAUCUAUCUACUUCCAUGGGCAACACCCACUAAAAAGAGAACCUUCAGCCUAUAGUCCUUUUUAAAGUAUUUGCUAGUAGCAGAGUUCAAACUGCUUGGUCCUUAUGUAGAUUCACAUCUGUCGAUGAAGAUAUCAGGUAUUCCCUUUUAUUUUGUUGUUUCACACCCUCCCUGCUUAACAUGCUAGAUGGUUACUAAUAUGGUAAUUGCCUUUGAAUGGAGGGAGAGCUGCUGGAUACAGAAUGGAACGUUGUCUGUUCUUUUCCUCUGGAACUGUAAGGCAGGCACAGGCUAGGAAGUGGCUUUGGGACUUGCAGAGAGGUCUCUCUAGGUCUGGUGGGUCACAUUAUUGCAGUGGAAUUUGAGAUGCCAGCACAGCUUUGGAUAUGUGUGAUUGUGUACUGGAAGUGGGGUUGGCCAAACAACACGGGCAAGUCUAAAUCCUGUGCUGGGGAAAAAAAUAAUUCACUGUGAGCAAGAGCAGGGGGGGCAAAACAUGAGAUAACACUUUCUACCCUUGUGGACAUUCCACACAAUGACAGAUAUUGCUGCAUCUCUACCCUGUUGCAAAAGGGGAACAUGAUAAGGACUGGAUUUUUCUGUAAAAGGUAAGUGCUGGGCUAUCUUCAAAAUCCUAGCAAAACUCUACAAAUAUAAAUUGAGGCAGAAAGCAGACCAUUUGAGGCUUGUUUCAGAUGGUUGCUUCCAAGUAGGGAUUGCAGUAUCUGUAGUCGCUCCCUGCCAGUAAAAUUGGCAGUGUUGAAAGGGCAGGUGAGAGCCGCAGUGACACUAUUGAUGGCAAAUUACAGAAUCACAUUUAAAAUUAGGUAAACUCAAAUGUUGCUUUGGUCCCUUUUGAUCUUGCAGACAAGUAGAUGGUAGCUUUUGAGACACCCGUGCAUUUCUGAGUGUCCAGGCCACCUUCAGAGUUGAAAUAGAAAUACAUGCUAUAACCGGGGUGUGUUGAAAGCCAUGACUUCAUUUCUUAGAACUUUAACAGCUGUAUAGCUCAAAGACAAAUAACAUCCCUGGCUGGUCUCUGUAAUAACACAGACAUCCAGAAAAUGCCUGGCAUUUUUUGGUUCACUACUUGGGAUCAAAUUCCUCUGAUUUUGUUUCUCUCUGGACUAAGAACAGACUAUUCUUAAUGUUACAGCCCUAAGGAGAAAUUUUGCAUCCCACUGCAGCUUUGUUUCCACACGUGUUAUAUGGGCCUUGGAAAAUUCUACUGCACUAGCAGUAUUUGUAAAGUCUCAUGCCCAGCCCUUUCCAUCAGCAGCAAGUUCCUGUCGUUUCAUUUGGAAUUUCAAAGAAAAAAGCAUCUGUUUGCCCAAAAAACAGUUGGCAGCUUUUCAGCCUAACUGCUUCCACAAAGCCCCGUGGAGUUCUGUAAAGAAGCUAGUUCCCGCCAUACUAAUUCAGGUGCCAGUUCUGAAUGCCCUGAUAACUUUUUUUUUUUCUCCUCUGCAGAAACUCUUCUGUGAUGAGAAUUCUUGAGCUGUCAAAGCACAGGAUUUCAAAGGGCAGAAAUACUGAAAUGGAAAGAAAAGGAGAGUCUGUCCUGGGAGCCGAAAGAAGUGUUUUGUUUAAGCUUAGGAGUCCAAGACAGAUACGGCUCCUCUGCAUAAGAGCAGCAGGAAGGGGCCACUUUCCAGCAAAGCCUGAACUGCUGCUGAAAGCCGCAUUUCCUGCUACACAGAGCUCCCAACCAAAGCAGAAAUCAAAACAAGAGCAAACCCAGUGUGGACUCUGGCAAGGAUCGCCCUCUCUUCAUAUAUAAAAGGGAAGCAUUUAGCCUGACCUCAUAAAAGAGAGAACUUAAAGGACCGUUCUACACUUUGAAAUCUUACCCUCGAUGGCAUGGAAACAAAACGCUGACUUGGGAAUUUCAGCAGCUCAUUUCACGUUCUGCUCAGCCCUCUGUACUUCCUGAGCAUGAAUCGGCCAUUGCAUCAUCCCAGGAAAAUGAAGGUUAUUGGGUCACUGGCUGCCCUUAUAAUCUGCUCAGUAAGGAAUUUCUCAAGGGUAUAGACCAGUGCCCAGAAUAACAUUUAACAAGGUCUGGAAAAUUUGGCCUGCUACAAGCAGAGACUUUUUAAAAGUUUGCAGGAGGCCUACCGUUUGGAUGAGUUAGCAGCACACCCCCCUCUAUAAACAUCACUUAAAACAGCUGCCUCCAGGAACCAUGGAGAGAAAUAGCUGAGGGAAGGUCCAGAUGACUUUGCUAGUAGUUUAGUAUGUUUCUUAAUGUAUGGGCCUGUGCUAAAUGGAGAGAAAUCAAUGUCGAGAUUUUCUUGCUCCUGUUUGCCUCCGGAACAUCAGCCCUCCUCUUACACAGCCACUCACUCCACAUGCAAACUGCACCCUGGAGAGCACGUAUGGCUGAAACUUCAUGCAAAGCAGUACUGCCUCUUCCAUUGCAAGUCCUGUGUAUUUUCUGUAUGUGCUAUAUAUGAGCCAUUUCUUUAGAGGGACAGAACAGUAUCUGCUUUCUCUGAAUUUUGUACCAGACUAUAAAGGACAAUUCAGUGGCUCUGUUCACCAGUUGGAUCGCACUAUUUCACCAGGGAAUAGUUCCUGGGAUUUAAAGAAACUUCCCACCCACUGGGUAAAGGCAGAGACAGACAAGAUUCAACUUACUGAGAGCAGAAAAGUGCUGUCACUGUAGAAACCCAAACAUGUUGUGCUGUGCAAUCUCAGGCUCCCUCUCUACUUGCUCUGGUGAUGAUUUGACUGUGAGCUUGGAGGCUCUUCCCAAGCUGUUCUACAGCGCUCCUCUUACUAACUCCUCUUACUAGUACUCUGCCUACUAGUCCUGACAGUUCCUCUCUGCCUGCAUGAAUGACCUGGUUCUGCUGUCCUUGCAGCUGGUCACUGUGGGAGUGUUUGACUGGAAAGCAUUUUCUGCUCACAUUCUUUUUGCCCACAGGAGAGAGGUGAGUUGAUGAGAAGUUAUUGUUCUUCUCUAGGAAGUGUUUCUAAUUUCUCCCAUUUGUGUCUUGUGAUAUCAACUGAUCCUACGCCUAGAGAAGCUGCUGCUUGUGCCCCAUCACCUGAUCCCACACCACAACUACUGGUUCACCUCUUCUUCAGCAAGCAAUGCUUAACUGUAGCACAGUUUUUCUGCAGGCAAAGUGUGAAACUGCAAAUAUACUAGCGACCACAAUUCCAUACAGCAUCCUUGUACUACACAGAUAGAUGAAAUGUCUACAGACAGAAUGAUCAAAGCUUGAAAAUGUUUGUGGAAUAACUUCUGGUUAACAAGCCCGCUUUUAUAAUGGGUAACAUAUGAGAACAAAAGGUGCAGGAGAACAUCGGCUUUGGAAAAUGGAGCUUAAUACAAAAUUAUGUAUUGCAUAUUGUUUUAAAAAACCCAGUGUAAGUAGUGCUUAGCUGUGAUUAGAAGAAAUCUAAAACAUCUGCAAGAGCUCUUAAAUAAAUGAUGGAAAGUGGGAAGAAUUUAACAAAUGUUGGGAAAUGAAAGAACAAAGAGCUGGGGGAAAUUUAUGCAUCUGCCUGAAUAUGUGAAGCUUUCCCCCAUACUUUUUGUCAUUACUGCUAAGCAAAAAUUAUGCUUUCCCUAUUUCAUUGUGCAAACCUUCCAUUAACUCCAUUAAUCUAUAGCCCUCAAGCCUGAGACCUGAAUUUCUUUUACCAUUGAACUACAUGACUCUUGGCAGUUUUCUCUCUGUUUUCUUACUGAGUGUGAUAUUGAAUUCUUUUUUCUCAGAAAAGGGAGAUAUUUUGGGCUAACUUGGGCAAAGAGUUGAUUUGGCAUCACUUCUAAACUGUUGUUAAAUAAAAAUGAUGACAUAAUUUGAAAAAUGGGAUAAACUUAAAUGCUA
Molecule: long non-coding RNA, 5359 nt
Organism: Calidris pugnax (ruff)
Lineage: Eukaryota; Metazoa; Chordata; Aves; Charadriiformes; Scolopacidae
Exons: 2
Source: RefSeq, a predicted model, not a curated record